GACGAACGCUGGCGGCGUGCUUAACACAUGCAAGUCGAGGGGGUUCGUGGGGCAACUCACGGAUCACCGGCGAACGGGUGCGUAACACGUGAGCGACCUGCCGUACCUGUGGGGGAUAGCCGGCCCAACGGCCGGGUAAUACCGCAUACGCUUGUCUUGGGGCAUCCUGGGGACAAAAGAAGCUCUGGGGGCAACCCUGGGGCGCAGGACGAGGGGCUCGCGGCCUAUCAGCUAGUUGGCGGGGAACGGCCCACCAAGGCGGUGACGGGGUAGCCGGUCUGAGAGGAUGGCCAGCCACAUUGGGACUGAGAGACGGCCCAGACUCCUACGGGAGGCAG
RNAcentral lists this ribosomal RNA (338 nucleotides) under uncultured bacterium. RNAcentral describes it as "bacterial SSU rRNA". It matches the Rfam family "Bacterial small subunit ribosomal RNA", at positions 28 to 351 of the family's 1533-position model. The record is from RNAcentral.